RNAcentral lists this long non-coding RNA (428 nucleotides) under Mustela putorius furo (domestic ferret). RNAcentral describes it as "lncRNA (ENSMPUG00000026736.1)". Lineage: Eukaryota; Metazoa; Chordata; Mammalia; Carnivora; Mustelidae. The record is from RNAcentral.
AUGAUGGAGAGGCUACCUCUAGGUUACAUCCUUAGGAACUGGGUGUCUGGAACCACCAAGGAUUUACUAUCUAAAAACAGAAUGGGAAGAGGACAGUUCCCAAAACAAGUGUGGAGAACAAGAUAUAGCAGUGGGGUGGAACUCUUACAUCACAAGUCAAAACUUCUUCAAGAGAAAGUGUAUAAUACAAAUUCAAAUAAGGAGUAAGAAUGAAUGCUAGGAUUUUGCAUACAUUAUGUAUAGUAUGAAGUCUGAUCAUUUCACCAAGACUCCAAACAUAUACAUAUACAGAUAAAGACAUAUAGAGAAACACGCAUAUUCUUUUUUUUUUUCUAAGACUUACUGACCUUAUUGAGAAGGUUGAGACCUGAGUUUAUUCCUUAGCUAUUUUACUUUUAUUUUAUAAAAAGAUUUUAUUUAUUGAUUUA